GUGCUUGCUUUGGCAGAAUAUGUACUAAAAUUGGAACAACACAGAGACAAUUAGCAUGGCCCCUGUGAAAGGAUGAUGCACAAAUUCAUGAAGCGUUCAAUAUUGUU
This is a small nuclear RNA of Peromyscus californicus insignis, 107 nucleotides long. The record is from RefSeq and is a predicted model, not a curated record. Lineage: Eukaryota; Metazoa; Chordata; Mammalia; Rodentia; Cricetidae.